RNAcentral lists this ribosomal RNA (563 nucleotides) under Bacillus sp. (in: firmicutes). RNAcentral describes it as "bacterial SSU rRNA". It matches the Rfam family "Bacterial small subunit ribosomal RNA", at positions 67 to 616 of the family's 1533-position model. The record is from RNAcentral. Lineage: Bacteria; Bacillati; Bacillota; Bacilli; Caryophanales; Bacillaceae.
GGACUUAAAAAGCUUGCUUUUUAAGUUAGCGGCGGACGGGUGAGUAACACGUGGGCAACCUGCCUGUAAGACUGGGAUAACUUCGGGAAACCGGAGCUAAUACCGGAUAAUCCUUUUCUACUCAUGUAGAAAAGCUGAAAGACGGUUUACGCUGUCACUUACAGAUGGGCCCGCGGCGCAUUAGCUAGUUGGUGAGGUAACGGCUCACCAAGGCGACGAUGCGUAGCCGACCUGAGAGGGUGAUCGGCCACACUGGGACUGAGACACGGCCCAGACUCCUACGGGAGGCAGCAGUAGGGAAUCUUCCGCAAUGGACGAAAGUCUGACGGAGCAACGCCGCGUGAGUGAUGAAGGUUUUCGGAUCGUAAAACUCUGUUGUUAGGGAAGAACAAGUACGAGAGUAACUGCUCGUACCUUGACGGUACCUAACCAGAAAGCCACGGCUAACUACGUGCCAGCAGCCGCGGUAAUACGUAGGUGGCAAGCGUUGUCCGGAAUUAUUGGGCGUAAAGCGCGCGCAGGCGGUCCUUUAAGUCUGAUGUGAAAGCCCACGGCUCAACCGU